RNAcentral lists this ribosomal RNA (468 nucleotides) under uncultured bacterium. RNAcentral describes it as "partial 16S ribosomal RNA". It matches the Rfam family "Bacterial small subunit ribosomal RNA", at positions 28 to 507 of the family's 1533-position model. The record is from RNAcentral.
GACGAACGCUGGCGGCGUGCUUAACACAUGCAAGUCGAACGGUGAAGCUCCAGCUUGCUGGAGUGGAUCAGUGGCGAACGGGUGAGUAACACGUGAGCAACCUGCCCCUGACUCUGGAAUAAGCGCUGGAAACGGCGUCUAAUACUGGAUACGAGAAGGGCCCGCAUGGGCACUUUCUGGAAAGUUUUUCGGUUGGGGAUGGGCUCGCGGCCUAUCAGCUUGUUGGUGAGGUAAUGGCUCACCAAGGCGACGACGGGUAGCCGGCCUGAGAGGGCGACCGGCCACACUGGGACUGAGACACGGCCCAGACUCCUACGGGAGGCAGCAGUGGGGAAUAUUGCACAAUGGGCGAAAGCCUGAUGCAGCGACGCCGCGUGGGGGAUGACGGCCUUCGGGCUGUAAACCUCUUUCAGCAGGGAAGAAGCGAAAGUGACGGUACCUGCAGAAGAAGCACCGGCUAACUACGUG